AACGAACGCUGGCGGCAUGCCUAACACAUGCAAGUCGAACGAGACCUUCGGGUCUAGUGGCGCACGGGUGCGUAACGCGUGGGAACCUGCCCUUAGGCUCGGAAUAACUCCCCGAAAGGGGUGCUAAUACCGGAUAAUGUCUUCGGACCAAAGAUUUAUCGCCCUUGGAUGGGCCCGCGUUGGAUUAGCUAGUUGGUAGGGUAAAAGCCUACCAAGGCGACGAUCCAUAGCUGGUCUGAGAGGAUGAUCAGCCACACUGGGACUGAGACACGGCCCAGACUCCUACGCGAGGCAGCAGUGGGGAAUAUUGGACAAUGGGCGAAAGCCUGAUCCAGCAAUGCCGCGUGAGUGAUGAAGGCCUUAGGGUUGUAAAGCUCGUUUACCCGGGAUGAUAAUGACGGUACCGGGAGAAUAAGCUCCGGCUAACUCCGUG
RNAcentral lists this ribosomal RNA (433 nucleotides) under uncultured bacterium. Its description in RNAcentral is "partial 16S ribosomal RNA". It matches the Rfam family "Bacterial small subunit ribosomal RNA", at positions 29 to 507 of the family's 1533-position model. The record is from RNAcentral.